AACCAUUCUCACCUGCGGCUAGACCUGCGGAGGGAUCAUUACAGAGUUGCAAAACUCCCUAAACCAUUGUGAACCUACCUUCUACCGUUGCUUCGGCGGGCGGGCCUAGCGCCCCCCCGGCCCCCCGCGGGCGCCCGCCGGAGGAUAACCAAACUCUUGACAUCAGUGGCCUCUCUGAGUAUUCUUUACUGAAUAAGUCAAAACUUUCAACAAUGGAUCU
Molecule: unclassified non-coding RNA, 220 nt
Filed under: soil metagenome
Description: partial contains 5.8S ribosomal RNA, internal transcribed spacer 2, and large subunit ribosomal RNA
Source: RNAcentral